This 350-nucleotide long non-coding RNA is filed under the name Ananas comosus (pineapple). RNAcentral's name for it is "long non-coding RNA (ACOM_LNC018070)". Lineage: Eukaryota; Viridiplantae; Streptophyta; Magnoliopsida; Poales; Bromeliaceae. The record is from RNAcentral.
GUGGGAAGCUCGUCUUGACAAAAAACGAGAAGCGGAAUGAAAACAAGCAGAAGCUGAGAAAGGCGUAGAGGAGGUAAGGAGGAGGAAAGAAGAGCGAAAGAUUCAAGAAGCUCUGAAAGAAGUAGAAAAAAGAAGAGGUGAAGAAAGAAGAUGAGAAGAAGAACUAGAAAGAAAAGAAGAAGAGGAACAGGGGAGAGAAAAAGAAAAGGAAAAAGAAAGUGAAGAAGAACAAAGAGAAGGAGAUGGUAAAGAAAACGGAAUAGGUACGGUCUUUCCUACCGAACCUUCAACCGAAGCUUCAACAUCGGCUUCUUACCAGUGACUGAACCGACGGAUCCGUUAACUGUUUC